Molecule: ribosomal RNA, 618 nt
Filed under: uncultured eukaryote
Lineage: Eukaryota
Description: partial Eukaryotic large subunit ribosomal RNA
Rfam family: Eukaryotic large subunit ribosomal RNA
Source: RNAcentral
GCCAGAGGAAACUCUGGUGGAGGCUCGCAGCGGUUCUGACGUGCAAAUCGAUCGUCAAAUUUGGGUAUAGGGGCGAAAGACUAAUCGAACCAUCUAGUAGCUGGUUCCCUCCGAAGUUUCCCUCAGGAUAGCUGGAGUUGCACAGUUUUAUCAGGUAAAGCGAAUGAUUAGAGGAAUUGGGGACAGGUUUGUCCUUGACCUAUUCUCAAACUUUAAAUGGGUAAGAGCCAGGGGUUGCUUCGGUGAACCCCUCGGUCGAAUCGCGGUUGCAUGUGGGCCACCCGGGGUAAGCUCGGUUGGCGAUGCGGGAUGAUCCGAACGUUGAGUUAAAGUGCCCCACUACCCGCUCACCUAGAUCCCACAAAAGGUGUUGCUUCAUUUAGACAGCAGGACGGUGGUCAUGGAAGUCGAAAUCCGCUAAGGAGUGUGUAACAACUCACCUGCCGAAUGGACUAGCCCCGAAAAUGGAUGGCGCUCAAGCGGGUGACUGAUACCCAACCACUGUUGUAAACAAAAUCAAUGUGUAGGAGGGCAUGGUGGCUUGUGACACAGCCUUUGGUGAAAACCUAGGUGCAACAGCUUCUAGUGCAGAUCUUGGUGGUAGUAGCAAAUAUUCAA